UCCGCGGAAUGGCAUUUGAAACUGGAGGGCUUGAGUGGCGGAGAGGGUAGUGGAAUUCCCAGUGUAACGGUGAAAUGGGUAAAUAUUGGGAGGAACCCCAGUGGCGAAGGCGACUACCUGGACGAUAACUGACGCUGAAGCACGAAAGCUAGGGGAGCAAACAGGAUUAGAUACCCUGGUAGUCCUAGCCGUAAACGAUGGGUACUAGGUGUGGGUGGUUUCCAUACCUUCCGUGCCGUAGUUAACGCAUUAAGUACCCCGCCUGGGGAGUACGUGCGCAAGCAUGAAACUCAAAUGAAUUGACGGAGGU
RNAcentral lists this ribosomal RNA (310 nucleotides) under uncultured bacterium. RNAcentral describes it as "bacterial SSU rRNA". It matches the Rfam family "Bacterial small subunit ribosomal RNA", at positions 612 to 920 of the family's 1533-position model. The record is from RNAcentral.